AGCUUCAAUGCUACAGGUUUUACCAUAUAAUUCUACCUAAAAAAGAUGAAACAUUUCUCCACUCUACUUGCAACAGAACCAGCUUCCAAAGGGAUUUCACAUUAACAACUAAAACACAAAUGGGAAUGAGCAUAAAAGAGGGAAGAGAGCUUACAAGCCAAGUUCUGAUCCCCCAAUCUCGUGGACAGAAGCAACUAAACUUCCACAGGUGACACCAGCGCCUUGGCAGCGAGCUGGAACUUUGAAGGCUCUUUCUCCCAGAGGGGUAAGUGGACAUUCCCUAAAGGAAUGACUACAUGCUGAGUUGACAACACCAAAGUUACUGUAGCUAUGAAAACGCAGACCCGGGGGAAAACAGCUAAUUCAUGCAUUUACUGAAUCACCCGAUUCCUGUUAAUGCACAACAGAAGUACUGUGUGUUUAACUGCAAGGAGCCAAGUCCAUCUAUUACUGCAGCCCAAGGCACUUGUACAAUAGCAAAGGAUUUGGCCCUAAGUGAAUACAAUGUUUGCAUGAGAAACAGUAGCAUCCCAAGAGUCAAAGCUCCCAAAGCUAAGCUUUUUGUUUCAUCUUGCACGGCUGGAAGUCUAAUGGUCAUCGAAGCACCUAAAUGUUAAGAACUCUUUGGAAAUGAAGCAUAGGUACCCAAGUUAUAUAGACCUGCUACAAACUUUCAGUUGGCAUAAUCAGAAUUAUGGAGGCUUAUUAAAAAAUGCUACUUUAUUUUUAAAAAGGAACAUGUAAUAAAUGCAGAAAAGGAGGAGGGGGGGGAUCCCUGUUUAGUCUGGAUUUUCAAAAGAUACUUAGAUCUUCAGUUUCCACUUACACAUAGGGACUUGAAAAAAAAAGUAAAUCACAGAAGCCUCUGAAUAAAAGUACUCCCAGCCUUCAAAUCCCUAAUGCUCCUAAAGCCCGGUGUUAAAGUAUUUUAUGACUGACUUCCUGAUGCUCACUUGAGGCUUCUCUAAGCCCUGACUUCUACCAGAAGGUCCAACUCUGCAAUAUUUACUUGCUGGAGCCAUCCCACUGACUUCAGUGGGAUUACUUGUGUAAGUCCCAAUCUCAGGCUUUGGCUGUGGUUCUCUAACUUUUUGCAUGUGUGCAGAAUUUUCUGCUUGUGUGGCAUUGCUGAUGUCUGUGCACACAUCCAGAGGUCCACCCAUAUGAAGCAAG
This is a long non-coding RNA of Pseudopipra pipra, 1173 nucleotides long. RefSeq lists it as uncharacterized. NCBI's taxonomy places the organism in Eukaryota, Metazoa, Chordata, Aves, Passeriformes, Pipridae. The transcript has 3 exons. The record is from RefSeq and is a predicted model, not a curated record.